RNAcentral lists this ribosomal RNA (726 nucleotides) under Haliplectus futianisus. Its description in RNAcentral is "partial large subunit ribosomal RNA". It matches the Rfam family "Eukaryotic large subunit ribosomal RNA", at positions 401 to 965 of the family's 3401-position model. The record is from RNAcentral. Lineage: Eukaryota; Metazoa; Nematoda; Chromadorea; Plectida; Haliplectidae.
GAAACCGCUUAGAAGGAAACGGGUGGAGCCGAUGUCAGUCGGCGGGAUUCAGCGCACUCGGGAGCUGUCCUUCGGGAACUGGCCCGGUGCGUGCACUUCCCGUCGACGUGCGCCGGACACGACGAUCUGAGCCGCGCUUGCGCGGGGGAUAGAGGGCCGCCUUCGGGCGGUAUCCUGUCCUUCCUGUGUGCCUCUCCCGGGUCUCGGUCGUCGGUCUUCGGAAUAGCGGCGUUGGCCUCGCGCGACGCGCGUUCGCGCUCGGAGGAUCGAGCUGUCGGGUCUCUGCCCUGCAGGUUUCGACGAGUCUCCUUCGAGUCGGCGGGCGCGCGCUGCGCAACGCUGUCGUCCGGCGUCUCUCGGUCGGUAAACCACCCGACCCGUCUUGAAACACGGACCAAGGAGUCUAAGGUGUGCGCGAGUCAUUGGGCGAGUGAAACCCAAAGGCGUAUUGAGAGAGAAGACUGGUUCGGCCAGUUGACAUGGGAUCCGGUCGUCUCGUUGGGGCGGCCGGCGCACCAUGGCCCCGUCGCGAUUGCAUCGACAAUGCGGCGGAGGUGGAGCGCACACGUUGGUACCCGAAAGAUGGUGAACUAUGCCUGAGCAGGACGAAGUCAGAGGAAACUCUGAUGGAAGUCCGUAGCGGUUCUGACGUGCAAAUCGAUCGUCGGACUUGGGUAUAGGGGCGAAAGACUAAUCGAACCAUCUAGUAGCUGUUUCCCUUCCGAA